GACGAACGCUGGCGGCGUGCUUAACACAUGCAAGUCGAACGGUGAAGGGGUCUGCUUUUGUGGGCCCUGGAUGAGUGGCGAACGGGUGAGUAACACGUGAGUAACCUGCCCCCUUCUUCUGGAUAACCGCAUGAAAGUGUGGCUAAUACGGGAUAUUCUGGGUCUGUCGCAUGAUGGGUCUGGGAAAGAUUGCGCCUUUGGGUGUUUUUGGUGGGGGAUGGGCUCGCGGCCUAUCAGCUUGUUGGUGGGGUGAUGGCUUACCAAGGCGGUGACGGGUAGCCGGCCUGAGAGGGUGGACGGUCACACUGGGACUGAGACACGGCCCAGACUCCUACGGGAGGCAGCAGUGGGGAAUAUUGCACAAUGGGCGCAAGCCUGAUGCAGCGACGCCGCGUGAGGGAUGGAGGCCUUCGGGUUGUAAACCUCUUUCGCCAGUGAAGCAGGCCUGCUCCUUGUGGGUGGGUUGACGGUAGCUGGAUAAGAAGCGCCGGCUAACUACGUG
RNAcentral lists this ribosomal RNA (502 nucleotides) under uncultured bacterium. Its description in RNAcentral is "partial 16S ribosomal RNA". It matches the Rfam family "Bacterial small subunit ribosomal RNA", at positions 28 to 507 of the family's 1533-position model. The record is from RNAcentral.